CAUAAAGUAGCUUAAAAAAAGCGUUAGAUUUUUAAUCUAAAUAUAAAAGACUUUUUCUUUAUGA
Molecule: transfer RNA, 64 nt
Filed under: Glyptelasma gigas
Lineage: Eukaryota; Metazoa; Arthropoda; Thecostraca; Poecilasmatidae
Description: tRNA-Lys
Rfam family: tRNA
About the family: Transfer RNA (tRNA) molecules are approximately 80 nucleotides in length. Their secondary structure includes four short double-helical elements and three loops (D, anti-codon, and T loops).
Source: RNAcentral